GUAGUCCACGCCCUAAACGAUGUCAACUAGUUGUUGGGGAUUCAUUUCUUCAGUAACGUAGCUAACGCGUGAAGUUGACCGCCUGGGGAGUACGGUCGCAAGAUUAAAACUCAAAGGAAUUGACGGGGACCCGCACAAGCGGUGGAUGAUGUGGAUUAAUUCGAUGCAACGCGAAAAACCUUACCUACCCUUGACAUGCCACUAACGAAGCAGAGAUGCAUUAGGUGCCCGAAAGGGAAAGUGGACACAGGUGCUGCAUGGCUGUCGUCAGCUCGUGUCGUGAGAUGUUGGGUUAAGUCCCGCAACGAGCGCAACCCUUGUCUCUAGUUGCUACGCAAGAGCACUCUAGAGAGACUGCCGGUGACAAACCGGAGGAAGGUGGGGAUGACGUCAAGUCCUCAUGGCCCUUAUGGGUAGGGCUUCACACGUCAUACAAUGGUGCGUACAGAGGGUUGCCAACCCGCGAGGGAGAGCUAAUCCCAGAAAACGCAUCGUAGUCCGGAUCGUAGUCUGCAACUCGACUACGUGAAGCUGGAAUCGCUAGUAAUCGCGGAUCAGCAUGCCGCGGUGAAUA
RNAcentral lists this ribosomal RNA (574 nucleotides) under uncultured Cupriavidus sp. RNAcentral describes it as "bacterial SSU rRNA". It matches the Rfam family "Bacterial small subunit ribosomal RNA", at positions 790 to 1368 of the family's 1533-position model. Lineage: Bacteria; Pseudomonadati; Pseudomonadota; Betaproteobacteria; Burkholderiales; Burkholderiaceae. The record is from RNAcentral.